GGGCUGUAGCUUUGUGGGUAAUGCAUCUGUUUUGCAUGCAGAAGGUCCCAGCAUCAAUCCCUGGCAUGCCCA
Molecule: non-coding RNA, 72 nt
Organism: Podarcis lilfordi (Lilford's wall lizard)
Lineage: Eukaryota; Metazoa; Chordata; Lepidosauria; Squamata; Lacertidae
Source: the annotation of a GenBank genome assembly